CCUACGGGGGGCAGCAGUGAGGAAUAUUGGUCAAUGGACGAGAGUCUGAACCAGCCAAGUAGCGUGAAGGAUGACUGCCCUAUGGGUUGUAAACUUCUUUUAUAUGGGAAUAAAACGUUCCACGUGUGGGAUUUUGUAUGUACCAUAUGAAUAAGGAUCGGCUAACUCCGUGCCAGCAGCCGCGGUAAUACGGAGGAUCCGAGCGUUAUCCGGCUUUAUUGGGUUUAAAGGGAGCGUAGGUGGAUUGUUAAGUCAGUUGUGAAAGUUUGCGGCUCAACCGUAAAAUUGCAGUUGAAACUGGCAGUCUUGAGUACAGUAGAGGUGGGCGGAAUUCGUGGUGUAGCGGUGAAAUGCUUAGAUAUCACGAAGAACUCCGAUUGCGAAGGCAGUUCACUGGACUGCAACUGACGCUGAGGCUCGAAAGUGCGGGUAUCAAACAGGAUUAGAUACCCUUGUAGUC
RNAcentral lists this ribosomal RNA (460 nucleotides) under uncultured bacterium. RNAcentral's name for it is "partial 16S ribosomal RNA". It matches the Rfam family "Bacterial small subunit ribosomal RNA", at positions 338 to 795 of the family's 1533-position model. The record is from RNAcentral.